UACAGAGGGGGCAAGCGUUAUUCGGAAUUAUUGGGCGUAAAGGGCGCGUAGGCGGCUUGACAAGUGGCGGGUGAAAUCCCUCGGCUUAACCGAGGAACUGCCUGCCAGACUGUCUUGCUUGAGACCGGGAGAGGUGAGUGGAAUUCCCAGUGUAGCGGUGAAAUGCGUAGAUAUUGGGAGGAACACCAGUGGCGAAGGCGGCUCACUGGACCGGAACUGACGCUGAGGCGCGAAAGCUAGGGGAGCAAACAGG
This 253-nucleotide ribosomal RNA is filed under the name uncultured bacterium. RNAcentral describes it as "partial 16S ribosomal RNA". It matches the Rfam family "Bacterial small subunit ribosomal RNA", at positions 524 to 776 of the family's 1533-position model. The record is from RNAcentral.